This 406-nucleotide ribosomal RNA is filed under the name Asterionellopsis glacialis. RNAcentral describes it as "partial Bacterial small subunit ribosomal RNA". It matches the Rfam family "Bacterial small subunit ribosomal RNA", at positions 502 to 904 of the family's 1533-position model. The record is from RNAcentral. Lineage: Eukaryota; Bacillariophyta; Plagiogrammaphyceae; Rhaphoneidales; Asterionellopsidaceae.
UCUGUGCCAGCAGCCGCGGUAAUACAGAGGGUGCAAGCGUUAAUCGGAAUUACUGGGCGUAAAGCGAGUGUAGGUGGCUCAUUAAGUCACAUGUGAAAUCCCCGGGCUUAACCUGGGAACUGCAUGUGAUACUGGUGGUGCUAGAAUAUGUGAGAGGGAAGUAGAAUUCCAGGUGUAGCGGUGAAAUGCGUAGAGAUCUGGAGGAAUACCGAUGGCGAAGGCAGCUUCCUGGCAUAAUAUUGACACUGAGAUUCGAAAGCGUGGGUAGCAAACAGGAUUAGAUACCCUGGUAGUCCAUGCCGUAAACGUUGGGCACUAGGUGUGGGGACCAUUCCACGGUUUCCGCGCCGCAGCUAACGCAUUAAGUGCCCCGCCUGGGGAGUACGGCCGCAAGGUUAAAACUCAA